GAUGAACGCUGGCGGCGUGCCUAAUACAUGCAAGUCGAGCGAACAGACGAGGAGCUUGCUCCUCUGACGUUAGCGGCGGACGGGUGAGUAACACGUGGAUAACCUACCUAUAAGACUGGGAUAACUUCGGGAAACCGGAGCUAAUACCGGAUAAUAUAUUGAACCGCAUGGUUCAAUAGUGAAAGACGGUUUUGCUGUCACUUAUAGAUGGAUCCGCGCCGCAUUAGCUAGUUGGUAAGGUAACGGCUUACCAAGGCAACGAUGCGUAGCCGACCUGAGAGGGUGAUCGGCCACACUGGAACUGAGACACGGUACAGACUCCUACGGGAGGCAGCAGUAGGGAAUCUUCCGCAAUGGGCGAAAGCCUGCCGGAGCAACGCCGCGUGAGUGAUGAAGGUCUUCGGAUCGUAAAACUCUGUUAUUAGGGAAGAACACAUGUGUAAGUAACUAUGCACGUCUUGACGGUACCUAAUCAGAAAGCCACGGCUAACUACGUG
This 497-nucleotide ribosomal RNA is filed under the name uncultured bacterium. Its description in RNAcentral is "partial 16S ribosomal RNA". It matches the Rfam family "Bacterial small subunit ribosomal RNA", at positions 28 to 507 of the family's 1533-position model. The record is from RNAcentral.